CUAAUUUCCUAUACAUCCCAGGCCACCGUUUAAUGCAGAAAACUGCUUUAGUUACCGGUACCCCCAUGAUCGCUAGUCCAGCCACUCUCACCACCACUGUUCCAGCCUCUGCUCACCACAAAACCUCCUCUGUGACCAAAACCACCACCCUGCCCAUCAAGCCCCAAAGUGGGCUCAUUAGACCCCCUACUUUCCUACACAUGCCAGCCCACCGUUUAAUGCAGACAACUGCUUUAGUUACUGGUACCCCCAUGAUCACUAGUCCAGCCACACUCACCACCACUGGUCCAGCCUCUUCUCACCACAAAAUCCCCUCCGUGACCAAAACCACCAUGCUGUCCAUCAAGCCCCAAAGUGGGCUCAUUAGACCCCCUAAUUUCCUACACAUGCCAGCCCACCAUUUAAUGCAGAAAACUGUUUUCGUUACCGGUACCUCCAUGAUCACUAAUCCAGCCACACUCACCACCACUGUUCCAGCCUCUGCUCACCACAAAAUCCCCUCCGUGACCAAAACCAACACCCUGCCCAUCAAGCCCCAAAGUGGGCUCAUUAGACUCCCUAAUUUCCUACACAUGCCAGCCCACCGUUUAAUGCAGAAAACUGCUUUAGUUACCGGUAGACCCAUGAUCACUAGUCCAGCCACACUCACCACCACUGCUCCAGCAUCUUCUCACCACAAAACCCCCUCCGUGACCAAAACCACCACCCUGCCCAUCAAGCCCCAAAGUGGGCUCAUUAGACCCCCUAAUUUCCUAUACAUGCCAGCCCACCGUUUAAUGCAGACAACUGCUUUAGUUACUGGUACUCCCAUGAUCACUAGUCCAGCCACACUCACCACCACUGUUCCAGCCUCUGCUCACCACAAAACCCCUUCCGUGACCAAAACCACCACCCUGCCCAUCAAGCCCCAAAGUGGGCUCAUUAGACCCCCUAAUUUCCUAUACAUGCCAGCCCACCAUUUAAUGCAGACAACUGCUUUAGUUACUGGUAACCCCAUGAUCACUAGUCCAGCCACACUCACCACCACUGGUCCAGCCAAUCUAUCUUCCUCACAGCCUAUGAGUGGUUUGGGGGUAAACAGAGUGGCCAGCACCAGCUCAACAACUACAACUACCACCACCACCACCACAACU
RNAcentral lists this long non-coding RNA (1133 nucleotides) under Castor canadensis (American beaver). RNAcentral's name for it is "lncRNA (ENSCCNG00000002968.1)". Lineage: Eukaryota; Metazoa; Chordata; Mammalia; Rodentia; Castoridae. The record is from RNAcentral.